CUUGGUCAUUUAGAGGAAGUAAAAGUCGUAACAAGGUUUCCGUAGGUGAACCUGCGGAAGGAUCAUUACCUUUCAAUGCAGCAGAAUUGGGAUGGUUGAGUAUCUCGCCUUCCAAUUCUGCCUGUAUUCCACCCUUGUUUGUCAUACUAUUAUUUCCUCGGCAGGCUUGCCUGCCGAGUGAAACCAAUUAUAACCUAUUUAAUUUUCAAUCAGCGUCUGAAAAAAAUUAAUAAUUACAACUUUCAACAACGGAUCUCUUGGUUCUGGCAUCGAUGAAGAACGCAGCGAAAUGCGAUAAGUAGUGUGAAUUGCAGAAUUCAGUGAAUCAUCGAAUCUUUGAACGCACAUUGCGCCCCUUGGUAUUCCAUGGGGCAUGCCUGUUCGAGCGUCAUUUGUACCUUCAAGCUUUGCUUGGUGUUGGGUGUUUGUCCUGAGGGACUCGCCUUAAAGUAAUUGGCAGCCAGUGUUUGGUUUUGAAGCGCAGCACAAGUCGCGAUUCAAGGCUAUACACCAGCUUCCACAAGCCUUUUUCACUUUUGACCUCGGAUCAGGUAGGGAUACCCGCUGAACUUAAGCAUAUCAAUAAGCGGAGGAAAAGAAACCAACAGGGAUUGCCCUAGUAACGGCGAGUGGAGCGGCAACAGCUCAAAUUUGAAAUCUGGCUCUUUCAGAGUCCGAGUUGUAAUUUGCAGAGGGCGCUUUGGUGUUGGCAGCGGUCCAAGUUCCUUGGAACAGGACGUCACAGAGGGUGAGAAUCCCGUACGUGGUCGCUAGCCUUCGCCGUGUAAAGCCCCUUCGACGAGUCGAGUUGUUUGGGAAU
RNAcentral lists this small RNA (820 nucleotides) under uncultured Phaeosphaeria. RNAcentral's name for it is "eukaryotic LSU rRNA". The stretch from base 538 to 820 matches the Rfam family "Eukaryotic large subunit ribosomal RNA", at positions 1 to 281 of the family's 3401-position model. Lineage: Eukaryota; Fungi; Ascomycota; Dothideomycetes; Pleosporales; Phaeosphaeriaceae. The record is from RNAcentral.